UGAGGAAUUUUGCGCAAUGGAGGAAACUCUGACGCAGCAACGCCGCGUGAGUGAAGAAGGCCCUCGGGUUGUAAAGCUCUGUCAGGUGGGAAGAACCCUCUGUAGUUGAAUAGGCUACAGAACUGACGGUACCACCAAAGGAAGCACCGGCUAACUCCGCGCCAGCAGCCGCGGUAAGACGGAGGGUGCAAGCGUUGUUCGGAAUCACUGGGCGUAAAGCGCGUGUAGGCGGCUUGACAAGUCGAAUGUGAAAGCCCGGGGCUCAACCUCGGAAGUGCAUUCGAAACUGUCAGGCGUGAGUACGGGAGAGGGAAGUGGAAUUCCUGGUGUAUAGGUGAAAUUCGUAGAUAUCAGGAGGAACAACGGUGGCGAAGGCGGCUUCCUGGACCGAUACUGAUGCUGAGACGCGAAAGCGUGGGGAGCAAACA
Molecule: ribosomal RNA, 428 nt
Filed under: uncultured prokaryote
Description: bacterial SSU rRNA
Rfam family: Bacterial small subunit ribosomal RNA
Source: RNAcentral